Molecule: ribosomal RNA, 394 nt
Filed under: uncultured Gammaproteobacteria bacterium
Lineage: Bacteria; Pseudomonadati; Pseudomonadota; Gammaproteobacteria
Description: bacterial SSU rRNA
Rfam family: Bacterial small subunit ribosomal RNA
Source: RNAcentral
AAUGGGCGAAAGCCUGACGGAGCAACGCCGCGUGAGGGAUGAAGGCCUCUGGGCUGUAAACCUCUUUUAUCAAGGAAGAAGAUCUGACGGUACUUGAUGAAUAAGCCACGGCUAACUCCGUGCCAGCAGCCGCGGUAAUACGGGAGUGGCAAGCGUUAUCCGGAAUUAUUGGGCGUAAAGCGUCCGCAGGCGGCCCUUCAAGUCUGCUGUUAAAAAGUGGAGCUUAACUCCAUCAUGGCAGUGGAAACUGUUGGGCUUGAGUGUGGUAGGGGCAGAGGGAAUUCCCGGUGUAGCGGUGAAAUGCGUAGAUAUCGGGAAGAACACCAGUGGCGAAGGCGCUCUGCUGGGCCAUCACUGACGCUCAUGGACGAAAGCCAGGGGAGCGAAAGGGAUU